Molecule: regulatory RNA element, 115 nt
Organism: Citrobacter rodentium ICC168
Lineage: Bacteria; Pseudomonadati; Pseudomonadota; Gammaproteobacteria; Enterobacterales; Enterobacteriaceae
Rfam family: Magnesium riboswitch aptamer (Magnesium responsive RNA element)
About the family: The Magnesium sensor RNA element is a cis-regulatory element that regulates the expression of the magnesium transporter protein MgtA.
Source: Rfam
CUUACCGGAGGAUUUAUGGAUCCCGAUCCCACCCCUCUCCCCCGAUGGAGAUACGUUUUUUUCCGGUAAGCCUGCCCUGCGCUGUCUUACCGGCUACGUAAGACAGCGACGCUAA